GCCAGUGUGGCAUAUUGGUUUGAGUGUUGGAAUGUGACUCUAGAGACCAGGUUCGAUUCCUGCUUGGCC
This 69-nucleotide transfer RNA is filed under the name Phrynosoma platyrhinos (Desert horned lizard). Its description in RNAcentral is "tRNA-OTHER". The record is from RNAcentral. Lineage: Eukaryota; Metazoa; Chordata; Lepidosauria; Squamata; Phrynosomatidae.